RNAcentral lists this ribosomal RNA (490 nucleotides) under uncultured soil bacterium. Its description in RNAcentral is "bacterial SSU rRNA". It matches the Rfam family "Bacterial small subunit ribosomal RNA", at positions 26 to 506 of the family's 1533-position model. The record is from RNAcentral.
AGAACGAACGCUGGCGGCGGGCCUCAUACAUGCAAGUCGAGCGCGAAAGUCCGCAAGGAUGAGUAAAGCGGCGCACGGGUGAGUAACACGUGGGUAAUCUACCUUUUGGAUUGGAAUAACCUGUCGAAAGACGGGCUAAUGCCGAGUAAGCUUUCUUGAACGUGAAGUUCGAGCAAGGAAAGAUGGCGCAAGCUAUCGCCGAAAGAUGAGCCUGCGUCCCAUUAGUUAGUUGGUGGGGUAAUGGCUUACCAAGACAAUGAUGGGUACCUGGUUUGAGAGAAUGAUCAGGCACACUGGAACUGAAACACGGUCCAGACUCCUACGGGAGCAGCAGUAGGGAAUAUUGCGCAAUGGAACGAAAGUCUGACGCAGCCACGCCGCGUGAGUGAGGAAGCCUUCGGUUGUAAAGCUGUGUCGCCUAGGAAAAACGCGUAAGUGGGUAAAGUUCCAGUAGCGUGAUGGACAGGAAAGAAGCACCGGCAAACUCUGU